UACCAGCACCCCGAGUGGUCGGGACUAUUAUUGGGCCUAAAGCAUCCGUAGCCGGUCUUGCAAGUCUUCCGUUAAAUCCAGCUGCUUAACAGAUGGGCUGCGGAGGAUACUACAAGGCUAGGAGGCGGGAGAGGCAAGCGGUACUCAGUGGGUAGGGGUAAAAUCCUCUGAUCCAUUGAAGACCACCAGUGGCGAAGGCGGCUUGCCAGAACGCGCUCGACGGUGAGGGAUGAAAGCUGGGGGAGCAAACCGG
Molecule: ribosomal RNA, 253 nt
Filed under: uncultured bacterium
Lineage: Bacteria
Description: partial 16S ribosomal RNA
Rfam family: Archaeal small subunit ribosomal RNA
Source: RNAcentral